GAUGAACGCUGGCGGCGUGCUUAACACAUGCAAGUCGAGCGAUGAAGUUUUCUUCGGGAAACGGAUUAGCGGCGGACGGGUGAGAAACACGUGGGUAACCUGCCUCAUAGAGUGGAAUAGCCUUCCGAAAGGAAGAUUAAUACCGCAUAACGUUGAAAGAUGGCAUCAUCAUUCAACCAAAGGAGCAAUCCGCUAUGAGAUGGACCCGCGGCGCAUUAGCUAGUUGGUGGGGUAACGGCCUACCAAGGCGACGAUGCGUAGCCGACCUGAGAGGGUGAUCGGCCACAGUGGGACUGAGACACGGCCCAGACUCCUACGGGAGGCAGCAGUGGGGAAUAUUGCACAAUGGGGGAAACCCUGAUGCAGCAACGCCGCGUGAGUGAUGAAGGUUUUCGGAUCGUAAAGCUCUGUCUUUGGGGAAGAUAAUGACGGUACUCAAGGAGGAAGCCACGGCUAACUACGUGCCAGCCGCCGCAGUAA
This 480-nucleotide ribosomal RNA is filed under the name uncultured bacterium. RNAcentral describes it as "partial 16S ribosomal RNA". It matches the Rfam family "Bacterial small subunit ribosomal RNA", at positions 28 to 523 of the family's 1533-position model. The record is from RNAcentral.